Molecule: non-coding RNA, 204 nt
Filed under: unclassified sequences
Description: RT-15 RNA
Rfam family: RT-15 RNA
About the family: Proteobacteria. Nearby to self-splicing intron genes
Source: Rfam by way of RNAcentral
GUGCUUCUGGAGCGUGACGGUCAUGGCCGCCACGACAGUAAGUUUGAUCUGGUCUUGCCGCUGGGAGGCUGCGCGUCUGACGACGUUUGCGGCCACCCACCGCCACCACGCAUUUACAGAAACCGCACGCCGUUUGGCGUGUAGGUCUGGCGCAGUUUCCGCAACGGGCAACCGAUGCGGCGAUGUAGAUAGCAAGAAUUACCA